Molecule: long non-coding RNA, 3829 nt
Filed under: Marmota monax (woodchuck)
Lineage: Eukaryota; Metazoa; Chordata; Mammalia; Rodentia; Sciuridae
Source: RNAcentral
CUCUGCCUCAAAACACAGAGAAGGUGCUGCCCGUAGACUUGUCACGGCCCAGUGCAAAAUGAUGAUGUUGGGUUCAUUGUUCAAAAGUGGUCAGGAAUUUCAAGAUGUCAACGGCAGGGAUGAACAAAGUAUUGAGACCACCUGAGCAAGGACCCCAUGUGACUACACGGGUUUUCCUUGUUCCAGCAGGAUUUGUGGUGUGUGUGGUUUGGGCUCUCUCUGGCACCACCAGUCAACUUGUGUGGGGCAGAAGGGCAAAGGGAGGUAAGGCUUGAAAUCUAUUAGCAGUUCAGAAUCUAAAUUGGAGACAGACUCUGGACUACAAGCUCUCACCUCCCUCAAGUCUGCCCACCUGUCACUGUCUUGGUGACACCUACCUGAUAGUCUGAUUAAAAAUUUUACCUCAUCCCCCAGCUGUCCAGUUCCCUUACUGAGCUAUUUUUUGCCCGAGUCAUCUUUCAUAAACUACAGAUGGAGUUAUAUCCCAAUAAACUCACUCUAAGCUAAAAGUGCAUCUAACAUGCCCAACCUGCCAAACACCGUAGCCUAGCCACACCUAGAGAAUUCAUGUUGGAUUGUGUGGCUGGCUGGGAGCUGCUGCCUAGCAUCAUGAGAGAUGGUUGCACCAUGUAUCACUCUCCUGGGAAAAGAUCCAAACUCCAAACUCAAAACUCAAUAGGAGAUUUCUCCUGAAUGUAGCCUAUUGCUUCUGAACUAUUAUAAAGUCGAAAAAUGGUAAGUUGAACUAUUUGUUAAGUUGGGAUCUUUUGUAUAUAUUUUACUUCUAUUGUGGCUGUUGUCCAUCUCCCCUUAUUAGGAAGUAAGUUCUAUCUAAGGGAUUUUCAUCUCUUUUGUCCUGAAAACAAUACCAAGGCUGAAGGUAGAGCUCAAUAAUAUUUGUUGGAUGGCUGGCUGGAUAGAUGUGUGGAUGGAUGACAGAGACUCGCCUCAUAAAUCAAUCUGGAUGUGAGGGCUGGGGGGGUUGGCGAGGGGAUGGAGAUCCUGACCACAGGACAUCUGUCUUGUCUCUUCUUAUACAGGAGUCUUGACUUACACAAUGCUCUACCACCCAUUCCCUUUAAAAUGCAAACAGUGCCAGGGAUGAACAACCAUUUAGCACUAAGGUCAAGUUAGCAUAGUAAUACUUUGGGCCAUAAGACCAUGGACCAGAACGAGAGUGGUUGAAAUAUUGCCUUUAAAGUAUGAAACUGCAAACCGCAGGUUAGGAAUGACUGAGUGGAGUCGACAACAUGUUAAAGCUGAUUCAUAAAGCAGCCAUCAGAUGCCACUGUGUCAUCCUUAACUCCAGAUUCUCAAGUGGCUCUCACUCAGUCAAAGUGAGAGAAUGAUUAACCUUGAGAUGACUUACUCCCCCAGGGACCCCAUGACUCCUAGAUUGUCUGAAGAACAAGGUGAUCAUGAAGCCAUGGCGUGGGGUGGCAACUGUGGGAAGGAAGAGGAACAUUUUUCCAUAGGAAAAAUGCCCAGGUACACAGAGGAGGAACUAGGAGCCAGGCACCAGAAGUAGUCCUCACUUACCUGGUGCCUGAGGACCAGAGCUGGGCAUCUGAGCUGAUUUAACGGGUCAGGACUUUGACUCUACUUUCAGGUUUCUGGAUGACUUUAGUAUUAUGUCAAUUUAUCUCUUUUCUGGUGUCUUUGUUUAUGAAAUUUCAGAAAUGGGGGACAGGCAAGUGAAGGCCUCCUUCUAAAGCCAACAUUUUGUUAUCUUUGUCUGUUAUGAUCCACCAGAGAAAGCCCAAGCUACACAUCCAUAGCACUUAAUGUGUUCUUUGCAUUUUGGGGGUGCCAAAACAAAUUAUGCCUGAUUCUGGGCUUUCUCAUGGAUGCCUGCUGGAGUAAAUUAAGAGAGUAAAAAGAAUUUGCUAAAAAGAAAAGAAAACAUUUUUAAUAAGUUCACCUAUCAGCUAUGUACAGUGUUCAUUCCUGUAAGACUAGAGGCUCUGGAAGCCGAGGCAGGAGAAUCAAGUUCAAAGCCAGCCUUAGCAACUUAGCAAGGUACUAAGCAACUUAGCAAGACCCUGUCUCAAAAAUUAAACAGGGAUGGAGCUGUGGCUGAGUGGUUGAGUGGCCUAGGUUCAAUAUUUGGUACAAGAAGAAAAAAAUUCACCUAAAGUUCACUUGUCCCAAUUCUAUACUUUCCAGUACCCUGUGUGAAAUUCUGUCUCAUGAUUUCAUGGUCCUGAUUAUAGAAUUUGAAUGUUAUUUCAGUGAUGAGGAAGGCCUUCAGUCUCUCAUCCCUGCUCUGGACCACUUUCUCUGAGUUUGAAUGCCUUCUUCUCUGGGGGUUAAGGAUAUGGCUGCAUCUCAAUCAUUACACAAAUGGAAAGGGAAGCACCCAGGAGAAUUAUUGUCUCCAACUUCGAGACUGAAACAAAAUUAAAAUAUAAAGCAAAAAUCAUUAAUCAUGGCUUGGAGAUGACAGUGAAUGUUCACCUUGGGAAUUUAAAGUAACACAAUUAAAAAUUAUUCUAUGCCUCAUAUGUCAAUCUUUGGGAUGCUUGUAUCAGUCACAACAUUAACAAGAACAGAAAAUCUUCAGCACAUCAUACAGAGUUACGGAAAUAUCUCAAAGUCAAACUGAGGGUUAAAAAAACAGUUGUAGCACUUGUAAAAAACGAAAAAGAAAACAAAGACAGAAAACAGAACUCCUCUGUGUUCCAUGAACUUUGAGAAGAGCAAUAAUAGAAUUCCAACCUUAUAAAUAUCAAUGAGUCCUAUAAAUGAAUACAGAAAUACCCUCCCCCAGGAGGACACUAAGCCAUUGCUGCUCAGAGUACUGAUGUGACCACCGUGGGCCUCCUCCCAUCCUUCCCCUUGACAAAUGGAAAUAUUUAUUGUGUGAUUUUCUUCAAAACUAACUUCUCUUGUUGCUGUCUGCUUUCUGUUGUAGGUCUGUAGAUCAAGGCAAUCAGAUGCAGCCCAGAUGCAGAGAAUAUGUAACUCCCUGGGUUUGAUUGACAGACACUUGGGUAUUUCUCAUGAGAGGGUGAUAGAUGUUGCAUUCACAGGGGGCAAAGUCAACAUUUGUGUCUGCAAGGGUACACUGGAGUAGCUUCAUCACUGCUGUGAGCUGUUGUCUCCCUCUUUCUAUAAGAGGAUCAAGAGGAUUGCUGCCCCUUUAGCCCCACAUCUUGACCUUGUGACUUGCAAGGGUCAACAGGUGUGAGAAGAUAGGAUGUAUAGGCUGCUUCAGAGAAGAAGUUUUUAGAACCAAUGGGUCUUUCUGUCACCUCUUGAUUUUUUUUCUUUGGCCAUGACCAGGGUAUGUCCCAGGUAAAAGUCUCUCCCUCAGCUUUACCUAGAAUGAAGAUACAACCCACAGGCAACAUAAAAUAUGAGGAAAGAAUAAAUCAGCAACUUGAAGUUGUUUGCUACUGUAACAAAGAUAUAGUGAAAACUGACAGACUCUGGAAUUACCCAACUGUUAUUUAGCUGAUUACUCACAAGCCAGAGUCAAGCAAGGCUGUGCCUACAAAGCAUCUGGUCAGUAUAGUUGAAGGGUUUUCGUCAAAGUUGCAAUAUUCUGAGAAAUGAAGGGCUGGCAGCAUGUAAACAAAACAUCUGGAUUAUGAACGGAGAUUUGCAGGGCAAUGAUCAUGUGGCCUGCACUUGUGUUGUUUGGCAACAAUCAUCAUGCUCUAAGAAUGCUUGGUGCUUUGGGAUGUAGCAGUCAUCAUGUUCUAAGAAUGCUUGGUGCUUUGGGAUGUAGUGUAGGACCUCAAGACCCAGGCCCAGCAUUAGGUGACCAAACCCCUAGGCCUCAAAGCUGCAAGACGCUUCCUCACCCAACCCCCAUGUCAAAACC